AGUGAACGCUGGCGGUAGGCCUAACACAUGCAAGUCGAGCGGCAGCACAGUAAGAGCUUGCUCUUACGGGUGGCGAGUGGCGGACGGGUGAGGAAUACAUCGGAAUCUACUUUUUCGUGGGGGAUAACGUAGGGAAACUUACGCUAAUACCGCAUACGACCUACGGGUGAAAGCAGGGGAUCUUCGGACCUUGCGCGAUUGAAUGAGCCGAUGUCGGAUUAGCUAGUUGGCGGGGUAAAGGCCCACCAAGGCGACGAUCCGUAGCUGGUCUGAGAGGAUGAUCAGCCACACUGGAACUGAGACACGGUCCAGACUCCUACGGGAGGCAGCAGUGGGGAAUAUUGGACAAUGGGCCCAAGCCUGAUCCAGCCAUACCGCGUGGGUGAAGAAGGCCUUCGGGUUGUAAAGCCCUUUUGUUGGGAAAGAAAAGCAGCAGGUUAAUACCCCGCUGUUCUGACGGUACCCAAAGAAUAAGCACCGGCUAACUUCGUG
Molecule: ribosomal RNA, 492 nt
Filed under: uncultured bacterium
Lineage: Bacteria
Description: partial 16S ribosomal RNA
Rfam family: Bacterial small subunit ribosomal RNA
Source: RNAcentral